CCAAACACCACCAACCACAAGCACUACGUCAAACACCCACACCCACACAACCCAAGCCGUAACCGUUUUCUGAAGCUUAAACGAUAACAUAAGGACAAAGGUAGUUCACCUUUUUUCUAAGAUUCAAGGCUAGAUCUAGGCUUUAUCAGUGUUAGUUUUCAAAAAAUAACGGUGGAUUUGAGAACUAGGGAAAAAAAGGAAUUCAAAACAUGUAGUUUUUUUUAAAAAAGGAGGAGUUUCUUUUUCCGACGCGGCGGCGCCGCCACCCAUGGCCGGCCAGCCACUGCGCCGGUAAACAGCUUCCGGCGGUGUGUGGUUAGAGAGAGAAGAGAGCUUCUGAGUGUUUCUUUAGAGAGAGGAAGAAGUUGGAUUUAUGUUAUUUUAGGGUUUAUUUUCUAAUUUAUACUGCUGCCAUGACCAAUACUAUGGUGCACGCGGAUCUCUGUGUCCCCAUGGACCAUCAGGGUUGAACCGUUAGAUCCUAGAUCUAACGGCCAAUGUUAUCCCCUGUUUUGAUCAGAUGCGUCUCACCUCUUGGUUUUUACUUUGUUCUUCUUCUCUUGUGACGUCUGAUUAAGAUCUAAUGGCUAAGACUGUGUCUCCCCAUGAUCAAAUCUGGACGCUUCGAUCAAUCUGACGAUUCAGAUUUGAUCUGUUAAGCCCAC
This 665-nucleotide long non-coding RNA is filed under the name Glycine max (soybean). RNAcentral's name for it is "long non-coding RNA (GMAX_LNC000823)". Lineage: Eukaryota; Viridiplantae; Streptophyta; Magnoliopsida; Fabales; Fabaceae. The record is from RNAcentral.